GAUGAAGAACGCAGCGAAAUGCGAUACGUAAUGUGAAUUGCAGAAUUCAGUGAAUCAUCGAAUCUUUGAACGCAUAUUGCGCUCUCUGGUAUUCCGGAGAGCAUGCUUGUUUGAGUAUCAGUAAACACCUCAACUUCCAUAUCUUUUUUGAAAUGGGAGUUGGACUUGAGUGAUCCCAACGCUUUUCCUCACCGAAAAGUGGCGGGUUACUUGAAAUGCAGGUGCAGCUGGACUUUUCUCUGAGCUAUAAGCAUAUCUAUUUAGUCUGCCUAAAAAACAGAUUAUUACCUUUGCUGCAGCUAACAUAAAGGAGAUUAGUUCUUGUGCUGACUGAUGCAGGAUUCACAAAGACGGCUUCGGCCGACUUUGUAAACUCGAUCUCAAAUCAAGUAAGACUGCCCGCUGAACUUAAGCAUAUCAAUAAGCGGAGGA
This 432-nucleotide unclassified non-coding RNA is filed under the name soil metagenome. Its description in RNAcentral is "partial contains 5.8S ribosomal RNA, internal transcribed spacer 2, and large subunit ribosomal RNA". The stretch from base 1 to 120 matches the Rfam family "5.8S ribosomal RNA", at positions 35 to 154 of the family's 154-position model. The record is from RNAcentral.